CACACCUCCCAUCCAUGAUUAAAUAAUCUCCCACCAGGCCCCACCUCCAACAUUUGGGAUUACAAUUCCAAGUGAGUUUUUCUAGAGGCACACAACCAAAUCAUAUUAUGCUGACCUUGACCCCCCCAAAUCCCAUGUCCUUCUCACACAGUAAAAUACAAUCACACCUGUUCAAAAGUUUCCAAAAGCCUUAACUCAUUCCCGCAUUAACUCAAGUGUGAAAAGUUAAAAGUCUCAUCUGAGACAAGGCCCUUCUGCCUAUGAGUCCCUGAAAUUAAAAGCACACUCCUUUCUUUCAAGGAACAAUGAUGGUACAGGUAUUGGGUAAGUUUUCUCAAUCCAAAGGGAAGAAAUUUCCAAGAAAAAUAACACAAGUGGGACCACAGGCCCAAUGCACAUCCAAAACCCAGCAGGACACUGUUCAUUCAAUCUCACAGCUCCAAAAUCAUGAAUAGAACUCACUCUCAGAAGGGCAGCAUUAAGGAGAUGGUGUUUACCCAUUUGUGAAGGAUCCACCCCCACUCCUGCCUUUUAC
This 535-nucleotide long non-coding RNA is filed under the name Homo sapiens (human). Its description in RNAcentral is "HSALNT0149064". The record is from RNAcentral. Lineage: Eukaryota; Metazoa; Chordata; Mammalia; Primates; Hominidae.